ACGUAGGGGGCAAGCGUUGUCCGGAAUGAUUGGGCGUAAAGGGCACGUAGGCGGCCUGGUAAGUCUGGAGUGAAAGUCCUGCUUUUAAGGUGGGAAUUGCUUUGGAUACUGUCGGGCUUGAGUGCAGGAGAGGUAAGUGGAAUUCCCGGUGUAGCGGUGAAAUGCGUAGAGAUCGGGAGGAACGCCAGAGGGGAAGGCGAGUUACUGGGCUGAAACUGACGAUGAGGCGCGAAAGUGUCGAGAACAAGGAG
RNAcentral lists this ribosomal RNA (251 nucleotides) under uncultured prokaryote. Its description in RNAcentral is "partial 16S rRNA". It matches the Rfam family "Bacterial small subunit ribosomal RNA", at positions 525 to 775 of the family's 1533-position model. The record is from RNAcentral.